This is a long non-coding RNA of Vespa crabro (European hornet), 444 nucleotides long. RefSeq lists it as uncharacterized. The record is from RefSeq and is a predicted model, not a curated record. The transcript is spliced from 3 exons. Lineage: Eukaryota; Metazoa; Arthropoda; Insecta; Hymenoptera; Vespidae.
AUAUAUUUAACAUAUGGAAUUUAUGAAGGCAUACAAUAGAACUUGAAGAAUAUCUUACAUUAAAAGCAUGAAAAUAUGUUGAAGUUCGGAACCAUGAUGUAUGGAAAUGAAGACCCAUAGGCGCACGAUUGCUAAGGAUAAACACGUGUAGGACAGAGCUGAUCUGAUCCUGCACAUGCAUAUGGUAUCUUAUAAUCAAGAGUAUAAGGCCAUAUUGGUGUAUUUAAAAAUGGUACUACUAUGGAUGAAUCAUACACAAAUCCGAAUUCCAACAUCAUUAAAAAUUGACGGUUCCAUCCCACUUGCAAAAAAGCAGCAUAUUUGUUAAUAAUAUUUGCAAUACCAACCAUUUCGUCAAACCAAUCUUCAACAGUUGCAUUUCGCGACCACCAUUCUUCUGGUCCACGAUGACUAUAAAAUAUAAAAUUUUGUGACAGAGUCUAA